UACGUAGGGUGCAAGCGUUGUCCGGAAUUAUUGGGCGUAAAGAGCUUGUAGGCGGUUUGUCGCGUCUGCUGUGAAAUUUCGGGGCUCAACCCCGAACUUGCAGUGGGUACGGGCAGACUAGAGUGCGGUAGGGGAGCGGGGAAUUCCUGGUGUAGCGGUGAAAUGCGCAGAUAUCAGGAGGAACACCAGUGGCGAAGGCGCCGCUCUGGGCCGUGACUGACGCUGAGGAGCGAAAGCGUGGGUAGCAAACAGG
RNAcentral lists this ribosomal RNA (253 nucleotides) under uncultured bacterium. RNAcentral's name for it is "partial 16S ribosomal RNA". It matches the Rfam family "Bacterial small subunit ribosomal RNA", at positions 524 to 776 of the family's 1533-position model. The record is from RNAcentral.